Molecule: ribosomal RNA, 461 nt
Filed under: Cuniculina sp. SB0318
Lineage: Eukaryota; Metazoa; Arthropoda; Insecta; Phasmatodea; Phasmatidae
Description: partial 28S ribosomal RNA
Source: RNAcentral
GACGUCCAGAAUUCGAAAGGGGUGGAUUCAACUGCAUCCCGGCCUGUCCUGGCUGUCCUCCGCGAGAUGGUGCUGGCCGCCCGGGGCGAUUUAUUUCGCUUGCGGUGUCGUAACCGGUGCUGACUCUGCGGUGUGGCGUGUAUCUCAGGCGCACGGGGCAGCGCACUUCCCCCCUAGUAGAAACGUCGCGACCCGUUGGGUGCCGGUCUAAGGCCUGGAGUGGAGCACGCGUUGCCCACGGCGGUGUCAAGCCACCGUGGUUUCGCGGACCUCCGGUGACCUGGCUGGCUGCCCGACGGUAUGACAAGAGGAGCCGAUCCGCUAUUUGGAAAGCAUUAUGAGUUGUGAAGCGUCCGGCCCUGCGACGGCGCGCGCGAGCUCUGUCUCGCCGUCGUACGUAGGUGUCCUCGGACUGGAUCGAUACUCCUGUCUGCGGCGCCCACCUUCGGAUGGUCUCCCGC